CGGGGUGUAGCGUAGUCCGGUCAUCGCGCCUGGUU
RNAcentral lists this small RNA (35 nucleotides) under Bombyx mori (domestic silkworm). RNAcentral describes it as "ovarian small RNA-14511". The record is from RNAcentral. Lineage: Eukaryota; Metazoa; Arthropoda; Insecta; Lepidoptera; Bombycidae.